GAGUCGGGGGUAUGAAAUUCACCUCGAUCGGCGGUCGAAAAUCUCCCCGGUGUGGCGGCGGGUGGCGGCGGCCGGCUUCUCUGGCGUCUGGUUCGUCUUCUCCGGCGAGGGCAGGCGGCUAGGGUUUUUGUGGUCAGGUGUGGGGGUUCUAUUUAUACCCUUUUGCCUUUUGAUCUCAGCCGUCCAUUUUGAUUUAAUCUGCGCCGUCCGUGCGCACGCUUGAUCUGGGCCGUUCGAUCGCGCGUACGCGGAUCGCCAACGUGGCCCGUCCCCGGUCGACGUGGUUUUGCCACGUGGCAGGUCCUGGUUGGCCAGGACUGCUGACU
RNAcentral lists this long non-coding RNA (326 nucleotides) under Carica papaya (papaya). RNAcentral describes it as "long non-coding RNA (CPAP_LNC003539)". The record is from RNAcentral. Lineage: Eukaryota; Viridiplantae; Streptophyta; Magnoliopsida; Brassicales; Caricaceae.